Aedes aegypti (yellow fever mosquito) is the source of this 583-nucleotide long non-coding RNA. RefSeq lists it as uncharacterized. The record is from RefSeq and is a predicted model, not a curated record. The transcript has 2 exons. NCBI's taxonomy places the organism in Eukaryota, Metazoa, Arthropoda, Insecta, Diptera, Culicidae.
UGAAAUCUCCAUUAUAUUUUAUGUGCGGAAAUCAAAUAGAACUUUUUUUUUCAGCCUCAAACCUUAUUUUAUGUGCAGCAUAUCAAUUUCACUUGAUAACAAUAAAGUUCAAUGGUAAUGCAUGUAUUUUCCACUUGCAGUACAAUGCAUAAUAGUGGUCACAUUGCUGCAAUCUAUUGAAGAUGCCAGAUCAAGAUUGUAUCGAGUAGACUCGUGACAACAGACAAUAAAAUAUAUUCCGCCAUCUUACGUGUUCUGCGGCGGGGUUUUCGCAGUAUUUUGUUCAACAAAAAAGGAUGAGUAUGUUUUCUAUGUGAUGUAAUGCAGUACGAACAAAGGAUUUUGUGUUGCAAUAAGGAUAAACUAGGUUCCAGACAAAUGUGAAUCGCAUUGGAAUCAAACACCACGUGACGAACUUGUUGACGACCAUAAAGAUGCGUUUCCGUUUUCUCCGUGCUGCCAAAAACAAAAACGAUUCCCAUCAUCCCUGCUGCCUACACCGCACGAUCAACAUUUGGAAUUCGUAUUGCCAAAUCUCAAGCAUGGUUAGAAUAGUUAGAUUCAAUAAAUGUUAAUAUGCUGA